Molecule: unclassified non-coding RNA, 373 nt
Filed under: uncultured Actinomycetes bacterium
Lineage: Bacteria; Bacillati; Actinomycetota; Actinomycetes
Description: uncultured actinobacterium contains 16S-23S intergenic spacer region
Source: RNAcentral
UCCGAGUUGACCCCGGCAGUCUUCGAUGAGUCCCCGGCAUAACCCGCUGGCAACAUCGAACGAGGGUUGCGCUCGUUGCGGGACUUAACCCAACAUCUCACGACACGAGCUGACGACAGCCAUGCACCACCUGUGAACGCCCCCGAAGGACACCACAUCUCUGCGGCUUUAGCGCCCAUGUCAAACCCAGGUAAGGUUCUUCGCGUUGCAUCGAAUUAAUCCGCAUGCUCCGCCGCUUGUGCGGGCCCCCGUCAAUUCCUUUGAGUUUCAACCUUGCGGUCGUACUCCCCAGGUGGCUUACUUAACGGUUUCCCUUGGACGCACAACCUCUAGGGCCAUACGUCGAGUAUCCAUCGUUUAGGGCGUGGACUAC